This 465-nucleotide ribosomal RNA is filed under the name Vreelandella stevensii. RNAcentral describes it as "partial 16S ribosomal RNA". It matches the Rfam family "Bacterial small subunit ribosomal RNA", at positions 338 to 795 of the family's 1533-position model. Lineage: Bacteria; Pseudomonadati; Pseudomonadota; Gammaproteobacteria; Oceanospirillales; Halomonadaceae. The record is from RNAcentral.
CCUACGGGGCGCAGCAGUGGGGAAUAUUGGACAAUGGGCGAAAGCCUGAUCCAGCCAUGCCGCGUGUGUGAAGAAGGCCUUCGGGUUGUAAAGCACUUUCAGUGGGGAAGAAAGCCUUGGGGCUAAUACCCUCGAGGAAGGACAUCACCCACAGAAGAAGCACCGGCUAACUCCGUGCCAGCAGCCGCGGUAAUACGGAGGGUGCGAGCGUUAAUCGGAAUUACUGGGCGUAAAGCGCGCGUAGGCGGUCUGAUAAGCCGGUUGUGAAAGCCCCGGGCUCAACCUGGGAACGGCAUCCGGAACGGUCAGGCUAGAGUGCAGGAGAGGAAGGUAGAAUUCCCGGUGUAGCGGUGAAAUGCGUAGAGAUCGGGAGGAAUACCAGUGGCGAAGGCGGCCUUCUGGACUGACACUGACGCUGAGGUGCGAAAGCGUGGGUAGCAAACAGGAUUAGAUACCCGUGUAGUC